GUCCUCGUAGCUUAAACUCAGAGCAUGGCACUGAAGAUGCCAAGAUGGGUAUCACCCCAAGGACA
RNAcentral lists this transfer RNA (65 nucleotides) under Neophema chrysogaster (Orange-bellied parrot). RNAcentral's name for it is "tRNA-Phe". It matches the Rfam family "tRNA". Rfam says of the family: Transfer RNA (tRNA) molecules are approximately 80 nucleotides in length. Their secondary structure includes four short double-helical elements and three loops (D, anti-codon, and T loops). Lineage: Eukaryota; Metazoa; Chordata; Aves; Psittaciformes; Psittacidae. The record is from RNAcentral.